Mugil cephalus (flathead mullet) is the source of this 368-nucleotide long non-coding RNA. RefSeq lists it as uncharacterized. The record is from RefSeq and is a predicted model, not a curated record. Lineage: Eukaryota; Metazoa; Chordata; Actinopteri; Mugiliformes; Mugilidae. The transcript is spliced from 3 exons.
AUCAAUCCUUGGCCUGCUCCACAAAAAUAACCUACUAUCCAGACCCUGUGUUCACCACCUUCUCAUCUAUGAGGACAAGGGAUGGGUCUCAAAUUUUUCUACAGAAAAAGGCAGAUAAACUAGAGAUGACAGCAGCAGAGUUGUUAGUGUGGGGUAUUGAAGACGGAAAGAAAUACCCUUGCAUCAUGAAAGAGAAAAAAACUGACAACCAGACUGACUUUUUCACCUGUGACAUACAAAGCACAUCCAGCUUUACAUUUCAGCACAUAGAGAUAAAGUAUGGUGGCCAGACAGUGCUGCUAAGUAAUCUGCCUUUAGUUCAUCAGGUCCUUCUGAUAGUGCGUUUGAUGCUGAUACCUUGUGUCAUA